Molecule: non-coding RNA, 72 nt
Organism: Pangasianodon gigas (Mekong giant catfish)
Lineage: Eukaryota; Metazoa; Chordata; Actinopteri; Siluriformes; Pangasiidae
Source: the annotation of a GenBank genome assembly
GAACUCUAUUUAUUACGUUACACACUGUAUGAAUCUAACAUUACAGUACAGUGAACUCUAUUUAUUACGUUA